GAGUUUCACUUAUUAGGAUUACACAAUUAAUUAUAUUCCGAACCACUAAAAUACUAAAAAAUACUACAAUACUUCCUCCCAAUAACAAUACUCCUCCAUCAACUGAUAACCACAGUAUGCAACCCUGCAUUCUCAAAUAACCACUCAAAACUCAAUAAAUUCCAUCCAAUAUCAAAAAUAACAAACUUCACUCAAACCAAUCUGAAUUCACAGAAUUCCUAUAAUCACAGACUUUCUCUAUCGAAACACACACACACAACUCUCAAUAAACAACAAUCAUAAUCUUCCAUCCGUAAUAAAUCUUUCAAUAACUUCUCAUUGUGGUUAUUGUUUUACUUAUUCCGGAAGAAACCUCCCAGAAUAAA
This 365-nucleotide long non-coding RNA is filed under the name Physcomitrium patens. RNAcentral's name for it is "long non-coding RNA (PPAT_LNC014154)". The record is from RNAcentral. Lineage: Eukaryota; Viridiplantae; Streptophyta; Bryopsida; Funariales; Funariaceae.